UUGGUUAAGUUAGAAAGGGCGCACGGUGGAUGCCUUGGCACUAGGAGCCGAAGAAGGACGGGACUAACACCGAUAUGCUUUGGGGAGCUGUACGUAAGCGUUGAUCCAGAGAUUUCCGAAUGGGGGAACCCACUAUCUUUAGUCGGAUAGUAUCCUUACGUGAAUACAUAGCGUGAGGAAGGCAGACCCAGGGAACUGAAACAUCUAAGUACCUGGAGGAAGAGAAAGAAAAAUCGAUUUCCUGAGUAGCGGCGAGCGAAACGGAAAGAGCCCAAACCAAGAAGCUUGCUUCUUGGGGUUGUAGGACACUCUAUACGGAGUUACAAAAGAAAGUUAUAAAUGAAGCGGUCUGGAAAGGCCCGCCAAAGACGGUAACAGCCCGGUAGUUGAAAUGGCUUUCCCUCCAGAGUGGAUCCUGAGUACGGCGGAACACGUGAAAUUCCGUCGGAAUCCGGGAGGACCAUCUCCCAAGGCUAAAUACUCCCUAGUGACCGAUAGUGAACCAGUACCGUGAGGGAAAGGUGAAAAGCACCCCGGAAGGGGAGUGAAACAGUUCCUGAAACCGUGUGCCUACAAGUAGUUAGAGCCCGUUAAUGGGUGAUAGCGUGCCUUUUGUAGAAUGAACCGGCGAGUUACGAUUUGUUGCAAGGUUAAGCGGAAAAAGCGGAGCCGUAGCGAAAGCGAGUCUGAAUAGGGCGCAUAAGUAACAGGUCGUAGACCCGAAACCAGGUGAUCUACCCAUGUCCAGGAUGAAGGUAAGGUAAUACUUACUGGAGGUCCGAACCCACGCACGUUGAAAAGUGCGGGGAUGAGGUGUGGGUAGCGGAGAAAUUCCAAUCGAACUUGGAGAUAGCUGGUUCUCUCCGAAAUAGCUUUAGGGCUAGCCUCGAGGUAAAGAGUCAUGGAGGUAGAGCACUGUUUGGACUAGGGGCCCUUCUCGGGUUACCGAAUUCAGAUAAACUCCGAAUGCCAUGUACUUAUACUCGGGAGUCAGACUGCGAGUGAUAAGAUCCGUAGUCGAAAGGGAAACAGCCCAGACCACCAGUUAAGGUCCCCAAAUAUAUGUUAAGUGGAAAAGGAUGUGGGGUUGCUUAGACAACCAGGAUGUUGGCUUAGAAGCAGCCACCAUUGAAAGAGUGCGUAAUAGCUCACUGGUCGAGUGACCCCGCGCCGAAAAUGUACCGGGGCUAAACAUAUUACCGAAACUGUGGAUGAACCUCUUUAGAGGUUCGUGGUAGGAGAGCGUUCUAAGGGCGGUGAAGUCAGACCGGAAGGACUGGUGGAGCGCUUAGAAGUGAGAAUGCCGGUAUGAGUAGCGAAAGAAGGGUGAGAAUCCCUUCCACCGAAUAUCUAAGGUUUCCUGAGGAAGGCUCGUCCGCUCAGGGUUAGUCGGGACCUAAGCCGAGGCCGAUAGGCGUAGGCGAUGGACAACAGGUAGAGAUUCCUGUACCAGUGCUAAUUGUU
RNAcentral lists this ribosomal RNA (1464 nucleotides) under Listeria monocytogenes. RNAcentral's name for it is "bacterial LSU rRNA". It matches the Rfam family "Bacterial large subunit ribosomal RNA", at positions 1 to 1458 of the family's 2925-position model. Lineage: Bacteria; Bacillati; Bacillota; Bacilli; Caryophanales; Listeriaceae. The record is from RNAcentral.